GACGAACGCUGGCGGCGUGCUUAACACAUGCAAGUCGAACGGAAAGGCCCUGCUUUUGUGGGGUGCUCGAGUGGCGAACGGGUGAGUAACACGUGAGUAACCUGCCCUUGACUUUGGGAUAACUUCAGGAAACUGGGGCUAAUACCGGAUAGGAGCUCCUGCUGCAUGGUGGGGGUUGGAAAGUUUCGGCGGUUGGGGAUGGACUCGCGGCUUAUCAGCUUGUUGGUGGGGUAGUGGCUUACCAAGGCUUUGACGGCUAGCCGGCCUGAGAGGGUGACCGGCCACAUUGGGACUGAGAUACGGCCCAGACUCCUACGGGCGGCAGCAGUGGGGAAUAUUGCACAAUGGGCGGAAGCCUGAUGCAGCAACGCCGCGUGCGGGAUGACGGCCUUCGGGUUGUAAACCGCUUUCGCCUGUGACGAAGCGUGAGUGACGGUAAUGGGUAAAGAAGCACCGGCUAACUACGUG
Molecule: ribosomal RNA, 468 nt
Filed under: uncultured bacterium
Lineage: Bacteria
Description: partial 16S ribosomal RNA
Rfam family: Bacterial small subunit ribosomal RNA
Source: RNAcentral